UACGUAGGGUGCGAGCGUUAAUCGGAAUUACUGGGCGUAAAGCGUGCGCAGGCGGUUCGUUAAGUUCGUUGUGAAAGCCCCGGGCUCAACCUGGGAACUGCAAUGGAAACUGGCGGGCUUGAAUGCGGCAGAGGGGGGUGGAAUUCCGCGUGUAGCAGUGAAAUGCGUAGAGAUGCGGAGGAACACCGAUGGCGAAGGCAAUCCCCUGGGCCUGCACUGACGCUCAUGCACGAAAGCGUGGGGAGCAAACAGG
This 253-nucleotide ribosomal RNA is filed under the name uncultured bacterium. RNAcentral's name for it is "partial 16S ribosomal RNA". It matches the Rfam family "Bacterial small subunit ribosomal RNA", at positions 524 to 776 of the family's 1533-position model. The record is from RNAcentral.